GUCGAAUGAAAACGAACAGACAACGGAGAAAAAGUUUUAAGGACGUUGAGCGGUGGUGAAGAAUAUUAGGCAGAAUCAAUUGUAGAAAUAUUAGCUGAAUUUAUCAAGAUAGCGUACUGUCCAUUGAACAGACAGCUUAUGGCCGUAGACGAAAAAUUCUCCAACAACUGGAUCCCAAGGUAUCUGUAAUCUCGAUUAGCAGACAAUAGUUUUAUUACGCGUGAGGACAAUAUGUACGGAUAAAACCAUUUUGGCAGUUCACCGUUCAAGGAAUGAGCUCUGUAACUUGUAGACCGGCUGGACUUCAUCUGAUCAGCUGGUUUCCCAGCAAGACACUCGAUCAUCUGGACUUGAAAGGCGUCACAGAGAUAUGUUACUACUUUAAGUAAAAUUAGUGACUGUGGCACAGUUUUUUGAAUGCUCAGUAAGUCGUUUGAACGCUAUUGGACUGAAAAAACAAUUUACCCCAUGAAUUCAGGCUCUACACUCGGAGGCGAUGAGGCAGUCGAAAGCUGCACCAUGUAACGUAGAAUCUUCAAAGUUACGUUGCGUGUACUCGCUGUAACGUUGGCUACGUCGCUCGCCAGCCGCAUCUCUCCGGCUUCGUGAAAGAGCAACAACCUCGAGGAACAGUCUACCUGUGCCCGGCGUGAACCAGUACCGUUAUCUUUCUCUAACGAGUGCAGUGGAGGCGCGCAGGUCGCAUUAUACGGGGACCCCUGAUUCAGAAGAGAAUUGCGACGAUGCGCCAAUGCUGUGAAAGCAGCGAGAAAUGCACGCGUGCAGUACGCGUGGACGGAUGCGUACGCGCGCGUACAUCGUGCUGCGAGAAAGUGAAUCCCAAAAGAAAACCACGGUACUGAAAUAAAGAGAAUCCGGUAUUAACGGAUAGAAAGAUUUAAUCCAUGAGGGUCCACAGCCGUUCUUAGUCCGACAGCCGGAACACCUUUAUGGCUCAGAUUAGAAACAGAAUAGUGAUCCUGGUAUUCGAGGAUAAUGAUUGAGGCCAAUCCUGUUCCGUGUCAUGAAUCAUCUUCGACCAAGCUCGCGUUCGAAUGGCUUGAUGUAAAAAUUCAUUGGCAGCUGCACAGCUCAGGUGUUUUGUCGGAGAAUAAUUUAUUCGAGAGAUUCGUGAUGUGGAGUGGAGAAAGUCAAGUGCAAACGGUACGCUUACCAGCGAAUUAAACUGAUAAUUACUUACCAUCCGCAACCUGGGCACAAAAAUUAUUAGGCAUGCACACGAUAGAGGUAUAUACGCUGGCUUUAAGGGGGUAUUCUAAUCUAGAGGCCGAAAUUUCGAGCUUGACAAGAAAACAGUACCAUACUCUUACCAUCCAUUUUUGACUGUCUUUUUAUUGUUCUUUCAAUAGCUUGGAGAAAAAAUAAAUAUUUAUGAAAAAAAAAAAAAAAAUUUUUUUAAACUUAUGCGCCUCUGAAUG
Neodiprion virginianus is the source of this 1439-nucleotide long non-coding RNA. RefSeq lists it as uncharacterized. NCBI's taxonomy places the organism in Eukaryota, Metazoa, Arthropoda, Insecta, Hymenoptera, Diprionidae. The transcript has 3 exons. The record is from RefSeq and is a predicted model, not a curated record.